RNAcentral lists this ribosomal RNA (330 nucleotides) under uncultured eukaryote. RNAcentral describes it as "partial 18S ribosomal RNA". It matches the Rfam family "Eukaryotic small subunit ribosomal RNA", at positions 1470 to 1796 of the family's 1831-position model. The record is from RNAcentral.
CCCUUAGAUGUUCUGGGCCGCACGCGUGCUACACUGAUGCAUUCAACGAGUCUAAAACCUGCUCUGAUAGGGGUGGGUAAUCUUUUGAAUGUGCAUCGUGAUUGGGAUAGAUGAUUGCAAUUUUUCAUCUUCAACGAGGAAUGCCUAGUAAACGCAAGUCAUCAGCUUGCAUUGAUUACGUCCCUGCCCUUUGUACACACCGCCCGUCGCUCCUACCGAUUGAAUGAUCCGAUGAAUAUCAUAGACUGAGAGUAUAAGCAGGUUCGCCUGUCUUCGCUUCUCGGGAAGUGAAGUAAAUCUUAUCAUUUAGAGGAAGGAGAAGUCGUAACA